UCUCUUGCGGUAAGCAGAGAAUAACUGAUUCACUCAGUAUAAAAAUCCCACAUUACUAUUUGCCCUAUUCGAGCUAUUGCAUUUACAAUUUGUUUGCCUUUUUCUAAUUUAUUUUGUAAUAAAACGUGUUUUUAUUCUUCCUAGAUUGAAAGCGAUGAAGUUGGCGCGGUCGUCGUGGUAAGCAGAGAGGAACUGGUUAACACAAUAUAAUGAUCACUCUUUGCUCACUAUUUGUGCUUUUUCAGCCAUUUCAUUUACUUUUAUUUUUUGCUAUUUUUGCUCGUUUAUUCUUGUAAUAAAACAUGAUUUUAUCCUUCCUAGAACCACCAAGACGAACCCACCGGCAACAUCAUUGUGGCUCUUCCGGAGACCACCAUCUGCCUGGUUCCGUCGGUUGGUUGUGGCGACACCACCUGCCCAGAGCCGCCGACCCCUGGUACCGACAUCUGCCAGGUAAGUAGUAAAGGAACUAUUUUAUUUUCUGAGUUAAUUAAUGAUAAUGAGCUACAGAACUAUAGUAAGUUGAUCCCAUAACUAAUCGUAUCGCUCUUCAUCAGGAGGAGCCAGAGCAGGUUGCUGAGCCUGGCGAGGAGAUUGAGGUAAGCAUAAGGCUAAUAGAGAGGGAUAAACGCAAAUCAAAGUCCCUUAUCAGCCAAUCGGCUUAUUUACAACAGAAAUCAUACAACCUCGCUCAUCUUUUUCAUUUCCCUUUCUUACCCAGGAGCGCCCAGAAACA
Molecule: long non-coding RNA, 736 nt
Organism: Xenopus tropicalis (tropical clawed frog)
Lineage: Eukaryota; Metazoa; Chordata; Amphibia; Anura; Pipidae
Exons: 3
Source: RefSeq, a predicted model, not a curated record